AGAAAGUUGGAGCCAUGUCACCCAGCUUCCUGGUGUUGGCAAGUAUGGAGCUGAUGCACAUGCAAUAUUCUGCACUGGAUAUUGGAAUGAAGUAGUACCUGAAGAUCACAUGCUUAAUUAUUACUGGGAUUUUCUCCACAGCAUCAAACACCUGCUCUGAUCUUAUGUGACUAUAGAUAGUUUUGUACGGGAUCGGAAGUUGGCUUCCUA
Molecule: unclassified non-coding RNA, 210 nt
Filed under: Hevea brasiliensis (rubber tree)
Lineage: Eukaryota; Viridiplantae; Streptophyta; Magnoliopsida; Malpighiales; Euphorbiaceae
Source: RNAcentral